GGAAUUAUUUUGAUUUAAUUUUUAGUUUUGAAAUUAAGAUAUUUCAUUCUAUUAUAAUUAGGAAAUUUAGGUUUCUAUUAUUUAAGAAUAUUUAAAAGGUUAUAGUAGAUUUAGGAUUUCCUAGUUAGUAUUGGGUUAGUAUUUUCCUACUUCGGGGUUCCUAAUCAUAGUUGGAUUAGUCAUUAGUCUGUAAAUACCUAUGUAACUUAGGUAUUUUCUGGUGAGAAAAUUAUUAUUGAAAAUUUAAAAUUAAUUAUAAUUUAGAUAGCUUUGUUCUUUUCCCCUUUGAAUGUCCUUACUUUGUAAUUCUACAUCAGGUAGAUCUUUU
This 328-nucleotide unclassified non-coding RNA is filed under the name Hevea brasiliensis (rubber tree). Lineage: Eukaryota; Viridiplantae; Streptophyta; Magnoliopsida; Malpighiales; Euphorbiaceae. The record is from RNAcentral.